Molecule: microRNA, 22 nt
Filed under: Gorilla gorilla (western gorilla)
Lineage: Eukaryota; Metazoa; Chordata; Mammalia; Primates; Hominidae
Also listed under: 2 other names
Description: ggo-miR-519e-5p
Gene: ggo-miR-519e-5p
Source: miRBase by way of RNAcentral
UUCUCCAAAAGGGAGCACUUUC